AUAUUAUGUACUUAAAAAAAAAAACCGGUACAUUUAAGAUCGAUCGACGGUCUUCAACGCGUUAUUUAAAAAUGCCACGCAAAUCGGCCACUGUCAUAACACAUCUAGGUUGAGGAGUCAGACGAGACGACCUCCGUAUGAAGUCUUAAUCGAUUCCGGAAAUUGUUUUUUGCCUCAUUUAUUCUUAUACGCAAUUCGCUAGUUUUAAGUUUAAUAAGCCAUUUACCAAGAAAUGUUCUCUAGCACGUACUUCGAGUAAAGCAAAACGAAUGAAGGCCUUGUAAACCUAACAACUACCGUCAAAUGGUCAUCACGACAAUGGACCUGAGCAGUGCUGAAAAUAUAAGGCAUGAACAGCUUCUUCCUAACUCAAGAGAAACCAAGUCUUUUAAAAGAAGAAUUUGAAUAAUGAUCACGCACGAUAAUAGCAGGCAAAAGGACGUGACCUUAGUUUUCUUGUAGAAAAACAAAGGCGACACAUCUCACAAGGAAAAGUUGAACGAUGAUGAACCUGACCUAAUUGAUUUCAAUUCAACACCGGAACGAAUUCAAGGUGCGCCUCAUUAAGGCCGCACUUGGGCAUGCAACGCCUUACAUACCUAACUACGUUCAUUUCACGAAUUAAUUCUGAAUAAAACCGUAUUAAUAAACGACUUUAUAACUUU
Bombyx mori (domestic silkworm) is the source of this 665-nucleotide long non-coding RNA. RefSeq lists it as uncharacterized. The record is from RefSeq and is a predicted model, not a curated record. NCBI's taxonomy places the organism in Eukaryota, Metazoa, Arthropoda, Insecta, Lepidoptera, Bombycidae. The transcript is spliced from 2 exons.